RNAcentral lists this ribosomal RNA (1346 nucleotides) under uncultured bacterium. RNAcentral describes it as "partial 16S ribosomal RNA". It matches the Rfam family "Bacterial small subunit ribosomal RNA", at positions 28 to 1381 of the family's 1533-position model. The record is from RNAcentral.
GACGAACGCUGGCGGCGUGCUUAACACAUGCAAGUCGAACGGAAAGGCCCUGCUUUUGUGGGGUGCUCGAGUGGCGAACGGGUGAGUAACACGUGAGUAACCUGCCCUUGACUUUGGGAUAACUUCAGGAAACUGGGGCUAAUACCGGAUAGGAGCUCCUGCUGCAUGGUGGGGGUUGGAAAGUUUCGGCGGUUGGGGAUGGACUCGCGGCUUAUCAGCUUGUUGGUGGGGUAGUGGCUUACCAAGGCUUUGACGGGUAGCCGGCCUGAGAGGGUGACCGGCCACAUUGGGACUGAGAUACGGCCCAGACUCCUACGGGAGGCAGCAGUGGGGAAUAUUGCACAAUGGGCGGAAGCCUGAUGCAGCAACGCCGCGUGCGGGAUGACGGCCUUCGGGUUGUAAACCGCUUUCGCCUGUGACGAAGCGUGAGUGACGGUAAUGGGUAAAGAAGCACCGGCUAACUACGUGCCAGCAGCCGCGGUGAUACGUAGGGUGCGAGCGUUGUCCGGAUUUAUUGGGCGUAAAGGGCUCGUAGGUGGUUGAUCGCGUCGGAAGUGUAAUCUUGGGGCUUAACCCUGAGCGUGCUUUCGAUACGGGUUGACUUGAGGAAGGUAGGGGAGAAUGGAAUUCCUGGUGGAGCGGUGGAAUGCGCAGAUAUCAGGAGGAACACCAGUGGCGAAGGCGGUUCUCUGGGCCUUUCCUGACGCUGAGGAGCGAAAGCGUGGGGAGCGAACAGGCUUAGAUACCCUGGUAGUCCACGCUGUAAACGGUGGGUACUAGGUGUGGGGUCCAUUCCACGGGUUCCGUGCCGUAGCUAACGCUUUAAGUACCCCGCCUGGGGAGUACGGCCGCAAGGCUAAAACUCAAAGGAAUUGACGGGGCCCCGCACAAGCGGCGGAGCAUGCGGAUUAAUUCGAUGCAACGCGUAGAACCUUACCUGGGUUUGACAUGGAUCGGGAGUGCUCAGAGAUGGGUGUGCCUCUUUUGGGGUCGGUUCACAGGUAGUGCAUGCCUGUCGUCAGCUCGUGUCGUGAGAUGUUGGGUUAAGUCCCGCAACGAGCGCAACCCUUGUUCACUGUUGCCAGCACGUUAUGGUGGGGACUCAGUGGAGACCGCCGGGGUCAACUCGGAGGAAGGUGGGGAUGACGUCAAGUCAUCAUGCCCCUUAUGUCCAGGGCUUCACGCAUGCUACAAUGGCUGGUACAGAGAGUGGCGAGCCUGUGAGGGUGAGCGAAUCUCGGAAAGCCGGUCUCAGUUCGGAUUGGGGUCUGCAACUCGACCUCAUGAAGUCGGAGUCGCUAGUAAUCGCAGAUCAGCAACGCUGCGGUGAAUACGUUCCCGGGGCU